UAUAUAUAUAUAUUUAAUUGAGAUGUUAGCUUAAUAUUCUGUCCGUGUGUAUUCAGAACAUCUUGUCCGCAGAAAAAUCCCUGAGUCAGAUGCCUGCUUUGGCCCUGCAAACCCUCCUACCGGCUGGCCAGGCUCCCACCCAGCACACCCUUCCCCUCAGGGGUCACCCGCCUAGCUGCUGCCACCUUCUGUCACCUCCGUGACUCAGACAGAGGGGCGCAGGGCAGAGGCAUUGCGUUGCACCCCAGGGCCCCCCCUUAGACAACUGCAGCAGGGAAGUUUUCUGGCUUCUAGACCGGCAGAAAGUCAAACGUCAGAUUGUGGAUUCAGACGCAUGAAUUUCACGGAAUGCUUUCUCAUCAAAACAACAGUCAUCUGCCUUGGGAGUCAAUCUGGGUGGACUGCCCAGCGGAGACCACGUGUGCCCUCAGCCCCCACUGACCCGCUCAAGGCAUCUGUCUCUCCUCAUUCCCCUCUCCCUGGCCACAGCCUUGGGGCCAGAGGAGGGUGUGGACCCUGGGCCCGGGGCAAACAGCAGGCUUUUCCCGUGGAGCAAAGGGACGCUGGAGCUGGUGCAGCCCUUUUGGCACCUUGAGCGCUCCCUUCCUUGGCUCAAACGAAAAAAUUUCCAUCGCGUUUUCCGGACACUCUGACAUCAGGAAGCCCUGAGUUCCAGCAUCAAAAUUAAAUGAAUUGGAGAAGCAUCGGGAGCUGUAUCCAAACACCGGGAACACGUCUUUGAAGGGCACAGGCUGCAACAGACAGAUGGACGAGGGAGGGAGCUCGACUCAGAACAGGCUUCUUGGUCUGCGUGCGUUAUACUGGUUCAGCCUGGGGACAGGGUGGGGACAGUGUGAGCCUGUUCGCGUCCGUGUAACACACACACACACACACACACACACUAGCCCUUCUCCCACUUUCUAGGGACGAUCCUUUGUUGACCACAGGGCUUUGUGUAUUUACCUGGAAAAACUGGGGUGGGUGGUGAAGGUGACGGCCACACACGUAUUCACGAAGGGGCGGAAGUCACCUUAAGGUGACAGGGUCCAGGUCCUGACUGAUGGAGCUCAAAAAGGCCAGAAGGGGGCAGUAUGAUCAGCAGUCUGGCUCCUGCUGGUGUCCUGCCUGGGGAGUCCAAAGAGGCGUAAAAAUCCUGCAGAAAUUCCUUGGGAACGCGAGCUGGGUGAGUCUGGACUGUGGAAACGGCACGCGGGGCUGAACGCCAGGUUUCCGGUCUCUGAGUCAGUUGGGUUAUCUCCUGCCCGGGUAGACGCUGGUUUUUCCAUUCCUUGGUUCCCAUAAAAUCGUUAAGCACUGAGGUUUUUGUAAUUCUGUGUCGUUCUGACACCUGCAAGCAAGUGGUGCAUGAGGGUGCAGGGGCACAAAAUAGUUGGGGGGCACCUAAACGGACGUGCCUUCUGUAAGAAAGACUCUGUCUUAUCUUUCUUUCCCCGGAAGCGGGGUGGGGACCCCUACCACUGUCAACACCUCGACCUCGUCCGGUCCUUCUCUCCUUCUGAAGAAUGAUUUCGGGGAGUUCGGUUUCCAAGGAGGAUACACAUAAAUGCACCAAGAACACCCCAAACCCACGCACAUUGCCUAGAAAUGCUCUCUGGGCUGUCCAAACCUGUAGUCGGGACGAUUUCUUAUAAGAUAAGGGGACCCUCCCGAACUGCAUUUGGAACACGAACGCUGUUUGUCUCUACGUGUGUUUCAACAAGGAAACAACCCUGUGUCUUCGCACCGUGUAGGUGGCCAGCAUCCCAGAGUGGCGUCUUCCCUGCUACAUGCGUUGUCCAUGACGGUCACGGUCAUGGGCCGGAAAGAGUUGUCCUAGACUUUUGGUGAGGCUAACUGCAUUCCAAAGGCUGUGCAUUGAGAUAACGAAACUCCUGGUCAUUUUUUACAUCUACAUGAACGUGGUCCAUGGCAAAAAUUGCAUCCGUGUUAAUUCUAAGACGUAUAAUGGUUCCAGUUAUGUGUAAGAUCCUACCCCAAAACUUAGCGGUUGAAGACACCCACACACGCAUUUGGCUACGAACGAACAAACCGAAAACCCUACAGUGUGGGAGGGCUUGGCCAACUUUGGCUGCUUGUGCAAACAUGAGUAAGAAUUUCAAGAUGGCGGCAGGAGACCGUUACACCAAGUGUGGAGCCCCCUUGUGACCCCAGGUGCAACUGCACACAUUCCCGAAAUCAGUUCUGGCUGAGAUGUUGGGUGAGGCUGUCCCACGGACACCACAUCACGAGCUUCCGGGAGGACAGAGGGAUGAAACCAGGUCAUCAUUUAUGAUCCAGUUGGGGCUGACGGCUGACGGGAGCCAAGGGUUGUUGGUAGGGAGACUGUUGUCGGCCACAGGUUGGCCGUCGAUCACUGACGAGCUCGGGUGGUUUCCCGUGAUCCGUCUUGUGGCAGGAAGCGUUUGACACGGGCCCACGGGUUGAAACAACCCCUGUCUCCUUCUGACGGUCCUCCUCUCGGGGGAUCCUGGCGAGGGGAUCCCAGUGUGGCAGGAUGUUUUUACCUCAAUGCCCGGGAUCUGUUGUCUUCCCGCGCCGGAGAAUGAAAAGAUUGAUGCAAAGUGAGCAGGAGGCAAAAAUCGAUUAGAAGAAAACAUCCGGAAGGAAGAAAAUGUGCAAACUGUCUUAACAGAGAGGAGGCACUCGAAAGUGAAUGCCCGAGGACGGCCCGCAACUUCCUUGUUUAUAAGGUUUUGGGUGCCCCCCUCCCCCCUCAUCUAUCUGCCUUAUUGGCUGCAGAAGUGUGGGUGCCGGGUUGCACGUUCCUGAUUGACUCACUUGCAGCGUAUGAGGGCUGCUCUGUGUCCCCGUGGGUCUUAACGUUUUAUGGCCUGCUAGUGAUUUUUAUUGUUUUUAUUUCAAAAAAGAUUUUGUUUCUUAAUCUUUAUAUAUUCUUGCGAGGCACAGAG
This is a long non-coding RNA of Lynx canadensis (Canada lynx), 2930 nucleotides long. RefSeq lists it as uncharacterized. The record is from RefSeq and is a predicted model, not a curated record. The transcript has 3 exons. NCBI's taxonomy places the organism in Eukaryota, Metazoa, Chordata, Mammalia, Carnivora, Felidae.